This 329-nucleotide unclassified non-coding RNA is filed under the name soil metagenome. Its description in RNAcentral is "partial contains 5.8S ribosomal RNA, internal transcribed spacer 2, and large subunit ribosomal RNA". The stretch from base 1 to 120 matches the Rfam family "5.8S ribosomal RNA", at positions 35 to 154 of the family's 154-position model. The record is from RNAcentral.
GAUGAAGAACGUAGCGAAAUGCGAUAAGUAAUGUGAAUUGCAGAAUUCAGUGAAUCAUCGAAUCUUUGAACGCACAUUGCGCCCCUUGGUAUUCCGAGGGGCAUGCCUGUUCGAGCGUCAUUAUAACCCCUCAAGCUCAGCUUGGUGUUGGGGCCUGCUGCACUGGCAGCCCUUAAAAUCAGUGGCGGCGCCAUCUGGCUCUAAGCGUAGUAAUUCUUCUCGCUAUGGAGUCCUGGUGGAUGCUUGCCAUCAACCCCCAAUUUUUCUAUGGUUGACCUCGGAUCAGGUAGGGAUACCCGCUGAACUUAAGCAUAUCAAUAAGCGGGGGA